Molecule: unclassified non-coding RNA, 2408 nt
Filed under: Hevea brasiliensis (rubber tree)
Lineage: Eukaryota; Viridiplantae; Streptophyta; Magnoliopsida; Malpighiales; Euphorbiaceae
Source: RNAcentral
CUCUCUCUCUCUCUCUCCUGUUUUUUCCCUUUCUUGUUUCUCUAGGAUUGCUGGGAAGGUCCCUUUCUCAUUGUUUUUUAUAUAUGCUUAGAAGUAAAACAUGGAUACCAUAGGAAUGAGAUUACAGUGUCACAUGGAAGAAAAUUUGAAUGGCUACUUCAUAAAUAUGGGUUAUGGGGUUCUCAAGAUAGAGUGCAACCCAUUUUUCUGCAGCCAGCUUUGUGGAGUCCUAAUUUGCUGUGGGAAUCCUGAUGAUGCUGCAGCAUUCGCAACCAACUGAUAAGGAGGUGGCGGAGGCCUGGAUUGCCAUUGUCGCUGUUGGUGGUGGUCGUAAUCACUAGGCGAUAAUGAAAGAUCACUGCCAAUUCGGCCUCCAUUGCUGCUGCUCGGAAACUGAAUUUGAUAGUUUGUUGGUGAAAAAUCAUGAAACAUCUGGGUUUCUCCAGGUCUCCUGAAUUGUCCAUAUCUUUGUGGUUCAUUUCCUGGAGAUUGAAUGUGCGUUUGGCUAAGAAGCUGCAUAGUUUCAGUCUCACAGUAACCUUCUCUUCUAUGCUCAUUACUAUCACUAUUUCUAUACAGGUUUAGCUGGGAAUGAAUCAAUGAAAUUAGUUAGCAAAAGAAGAUUCUAUCAAAAACUUUGAUUAAGCCAUUAAUUACAUUUACUUCCAAGCUUUUGUAUACCUUAGGCCUAAUUCCCCGAUUUCGCCAAUCAGCUUCGAAUGGCAUCUGUGCUGAUUGCUGAUCUAUUCCAGCAUUUUGCCUAUCAUUACUAAAUCCUACAUUGUUUUGCUUCGAACCAGAAUUGCCUAAACUCAAAUCAAGAUUGUGAUCUGCAGCACUACCUGAAGAUUCUGAAAAACAUACAUGUACCAAAUAAUGGAAUGACAUAAGCCAAUCCAUGCUUGCACGCUAUCAAUCCAAGAAAAAUCAGAAGAAUCCUCCAGGGCUUACCAGAAGAGUUGAGCUCAUUUUCAUAAAUGCUGGGAUCGAAAUUGGUCACAGCCUCUUUGCCGUUGCACUUGAUAGCAGCCUUAUCAUACGCCCUUGCAGCUUCAAUCUCAGUAUCAAACAAGCCCAAAUACACAUACUUUUUGCCUAGAAAUUGGCCCAUUCGAGCUUCCCAUCUUCCACACUUGUGUAAGGUCACACCUCUAUAUUUAGAGCUUCCUCUGGGAAAACCGGUGCUUUGUCGGCGAAGUACAUGCACAAAUUCCUCUUUAGUAAGGUUGCUCAUCUGUUUUAAGUCGUCCUCAUAAUCUUCAAUAUUAAAAUUUAUAUCUGCCUCCACUCCUCUAAACUUGAUAGCUGCCCUAUCGUAUGCACUGCAAAAUAACAAAAGGGUUGAAAUCUUGGGCUCUGCAACUAGAAAUUUUGUUCAUUAACUUGCUUUCAGGGGGGAAAAAGAAGAGCGAAAAUAAAUGUUAUAGGCUUAGUAAAGAAGGGAACAAGAGCUCACCGAGCAGCUGCAUGUGCAGUGUCAAAUCCACCUAUAUUGGAAUAUCCAAGAAAAGAAGAACGCCAAGUCCAUCCCAUAUCAGAAAUGUUUGAACAAUUCAUGACAAAGAAACCAUUUUUUUUUCCACAAAUAAUAAUAAAUAUAUACUUGUGAUGAAGAUCAAAAUAGACUCCUACCUAGAUAGACUUGCUUCCCACAAUCCCAUAUAUGAGACUCCCAGCGGCCAGUUCUCCUGUAAAAUGUUACUCCUCUAUACUGAGAACUUCUGGACCUGGGACCUCGCCUGCUCUUUCUCAUUUGCUGCUGCUUUUCUUGCACAAUUUUCAGCUCUGCUCCACCACUAGGUUCCAUCUGUGAUAAUUUUAACCAUUGAGGCCUUAUCUUGGAAAAUCCAGACUGCAAAUCCAAUUCUAACCCAGUAUUUCUCACAGGAAAAGGUUGGUGGGUAGUGAAAUCUCGAAGUGGGUCGCUUUCUCUGAAAGCAUUAUUGUUGUGGUUGGCAUCAUUUUUCUCUUUCUUCAAGAUAUCAAAAAUCAAUGCAGAGUUGGAGGAGUUCUCGUCUCUUGGAUUGGUUAAAGCUUCUUCUAUGUUGAUGAUAAUGGAGGAGUUAGAUAUGCCUGAAUCCUCCAUUUGUGCUCGAGAAGCAGCCUCUUCUUCCGGGAGCUCAUUAUUCUCAAGCUCUCUGCUUACUACCAUAUUCUUGUGGUUGUUAUUGUUGUUGUUGUGGUGGUGCUGGUGGUGACCAUCACAAGAAGACUCACUAGAGAUGAUAUCAAGAUUGAGAUCCAACAUGGUGAUCUUCUUUUUUUUACUUUUCUUUUUUCUUAUUCUUGUUUUGGUUUCUGGUAUAUUGACCUUUGAAGCAAGCUAAACGAAACCAAAACCAAAACCCAUUUGUAUACUGAUAACUUCUUGAAGGAACGAAAAAGAAAAAAAAAAUUAAAAGAGAGGA